GAUGAACGCUGGCGGCGUGCCUAAUACAUGCAAGUCGAGCGAACAGACGAGGAGCUUGCUCCUCUGACGUUAGCGGCGGACGGGUGAGUAACACGUGGAUAACCUACCUAUAAGACUGGGAUAACUUCGGGAAACCGGAGCUAAUACCGGAUAAUAUAUUGAACCGCAUGGUUCAAUAGUGAAAGACGGUUUUGCUGUCACCUAUAGAUGGAUCCGCGCCGCAUUAGCUAGUUGGUAAGGUAACGGCUUACCAAGGCAACGAUGCGUAGCCGACCUGAGAGGGUGAUCGGCCACACUGGAACUGAGACACGGUCCUGACUCCUACGGGAGGCAGCAGUAGGGAAUCUUCCGCAAUGGGCGAAAGCCUGACGGAGCAACGCCGCGUGAGUGAUGAAGGUCUUCGGAUCGUAAAACUCUGUUAUUAGGGAAGAACAAAUGUGUAAGUAACUAUGCACGUCUUGACGGUACCUAAUCAGAAAGCCACGGCUAACUACGUG
This 497-nucleotide ribosomal RNA is filed under the name uncultured bacterium. Its description in RNAcentral is "partial 16S ribosomal RNA". It matches the Rfam family "Bacterial small subunit ribosomal RNA", at positions 28 to 507 of the family's 1533-position model. The record is from RNAcentral.